UACGUAGGGUCCGAGCGUUGUCCGGAGUUACUGGGCGUAAAGCGCGCGCAGGCGGCUACACAAGCAUGGCGUGAAAGCCCCCGGCUCAACCGGGGAGGGUCGUCGUGGACUGUGUGGCUUGAGGGCGGGAGGGGCUGGUGGAAUUCCCGGUGUAGUGGUGAAAUGCGUAGAGAUCGGGAGGAACACCCGUGGCGAAGGCGGCCAGCUGGACCGACCCUGACGCUGAGGCGCGAAGGCGUGGGGAGCGAACGGG
This 253-nucleotide ribosomal RNA is filed under the name uncultured bacterium. RNAcentral's name for it is "partial 16S ribosomal RNA". It matches the Rfam family "Bacterial small subunit ribosomal RNA", at positions 524 to 776 of the family's 1533-position model. The record is from RNAcentral.